GCAUGGAUAGCUUAGCACGGACAUAGCAGAAGCCUACUAAGCUUCAGAUCGCGGGUUCAAAUCCCGCUCCAUGCACCA
This 78-nucleotide transfer RNA is filed under the name Candidatus Bathyarchaeota archaeon. Its description in RNAcentral is "tRNA-Ser". It matches the Rfam family "tRNA". From Rfam's summary of the family: Transfer RNA (tRNA) molecules are approximately 80 nucleotides in length. Their secondary structure includes four short double-helical elements and three loops (D, anti-codon, and T loops). The record is from RNAcentral. Lineage: Archaea; Thermoproteati; Candidatus Bathyarchaeota.